Molecule: non-coding RNA, 234 nt
Organism: Vicia faba (fava bean)
Lineage: Eukaryota; Viridiplantae; Streptophyta; Magnoliopsida; Fabales; Fabaceae
Source: the annotation of a GenBank genome assembly
AUGCCAUUUACUGACAGCAGUAACCAAAUUUUGCCUAGUGCAAAUGUCCCAUCAUAUCACAUUGUUUGUGAGCAACUACUGCGUCAGCUUCUUCUACUACUCCAAGACCAGAUUUUCUCAAUGAGCAAAAUGACUCUACUGCCCUUGUCUCUAAUUCUUAUCAACAAGGUGGUAAAGGAGGAGGACAUGGAAAUAAUAGGACUCAGCCUCGUUGUAGCCAUUGCAACCGUUUAA